UUAUUGGUAAACGAUGGGGAUGCGUUCCAUUAGGUAGUAGGCGGGGUAACGGCCCACCUAGCCUGCGAUGGAUAGGGGUUCUGAGAGGAAGGUCCCCCACAUUGGAACUGAGACACGGUCCAAACUCCUACGGGAGGCAGCAGUGAGGAAUAUUGGUCAAUGGGCGAGAGCCUGAACCAGCCAAGUAGCGUGAAGGAUGAAGGUCCUACGGAUUGUAAACUUCUUUUAUACGGGAAUAAAGUUUCCUACGUGUAGGAUUUUGUAUGUACCGUAUGAAUAAGCAUCGGCUAACUCCGUGCCAGCAGCCGCGGUAAUACGGAGGAUGCGAGCGUUAUCCGGAUUUAUUGGGUUUAAAGGGAGCGCAGACGGGAGAUUAAGUCAGUUGUGAAAGUUUGCGGCUCAACCGUAAAAUUGCAGUUGAUACUGGUUUCCUUGAGUGCAGUUGAGGCAGGCGGAAUUCGUGGUGUAGCGGUGAAAUGCUUA
RNAcentral lists this ribosomal RNA (483 nucleotides) under uncultured bacterium. RNAcentral describes it as "bacterial SSU rRNA". It matches the Rfam family "Bacterial small subunit ribosomal RNA", at positions 212 to 692 of the family's 1533-position model. The record is from RNAcentral.